GUUUAUCUGUUUCCACUAAAAUAGCUAAAAUAUGUUUUAUCUUAUCAGCAAAAGUUCAAGACCUUUUGCGAUUCAUAGAGUUCACAUCUGAAAGAGACAUGUAGCCUACGUGCGUUUUCUGAACGUACGUUCAUUUUAGGAAUCACACGAGACGUAGCCUAUGCGUAUUUGAGAGUCUGAGAGAUGAUCUUAAGAUCCAUUUUUUAUUUGAAUGUGCCAUUAAUGAAACUACAUGAGUGAAUAACGUUUCAACGAUGUGCUUUAACUGUAUUUAUUUAUUUUUUCAAGAAUUAAAGAGAAGAAACAUUCUCUUAUACCUACUCCAGUUCAUUUCAGCUUGUUUUUAGUAACUGCAUCUGGCAGUGGCGGAUCCUGGCAUAUGCAGGUGCCUAGGGCCGCUUUCUUCUUCUCUUUAUACUUAAUUUUAGGUGGUUUCUGUUGCGUGAUAUGACAAAUAUCGAGCGCGCAUAAUGAUCCAUGUAAUGCGUGAGGACGAAUCUCUCCACCCGCAAGUGGAUUUCUUUCACUCACACAAAACUGGAUGUGUGCUUUUAAAUAUGCAUUUUUCUUUUAAUAAAGCUUCUGCUCUCACUCUUUGACUACAAAGCUUGUUCAUAACCACUAAAAGCUCCUCUAGACACACCCCUGUGAGUCACAUCGCUCUUCCUCUGGCCCUCUUUCUGUUGCGUGAAGCACUAAACAGUUCUCAUGUCCCUUCAUCUUAUAUUACUCUGGCCAAGGAUCCGCGUAAGCCGCCCCCUCAUCGGCUCUGCUUGAACGCACCUCAUAUGAAGUUUCAGGAAGGUGUGUUGAAGAUUGCACACGUCUGAGAAUAAACCACUCUUCUAGCGCAUGCUGCUUCUUAUCUGUAUCGCUGAAUCAUGCAUAACAUCACAUGUGCGGAGAUUCAGACUCCAGUGGGGUUUCUGUAUGUGAUUCUGCCUGUUAUACUGAAUCAAACACUCAAUCCUGACUGUGAGCAGGGCUGGUAUUCAGAGGAUGGAUUUAAGAUAGCAGAUCCAUCAACUCCUCAAACAGUGGUUGAUCCUGUUAUUUCUGUCUCAUCUGAUCGCCUUGUCACUUCUUACUGUGUGAAUCUGAAUCAUCAGAUCAUCUGUGAUUCUGCUGAUGGACUUCAUUACAGUCAUGAGCUCAUGUUCAGAGUGAGGAAUGAAACUGCAAAGAUUCCAAGCUCAAAUAUUCUGAAUGAAGUGACUCCAGAUCUCCUGCACUCAGAUCAGUUGUGGUGGUUUUCUGUCCUGAUCUUCAUUGUUCUGGCAUUUCUAUGUUUCUUGAUGCGUAAAAGGAUUUUCAGGUGUUUUCAGAGGGAAGCUUGGUUCAUCUGUCAGCAUGAGGAUUCAGAAAACAGGGAUCCUCAAUCUGAUGAAGAUCUGAUCUGAUCAUCCUCAUUCAUGGCAGUUUAAUUCCCUUCGUGUUCAAAGGAUGAUCAUCAUCAUCAUCAUCAUCAUCAUCACAGUCAUGUACUCAAACUCAAGGCUGAAUGUCACUGUGAUGUUCAACAUGAUCAGGGGAGUUCUGAACCAUUCUUAACUUGUUUAAACACUUAACAGCCUAUUUUCAUGCAUUUCAAUCCCUCCCCAGCAGGCACACAAUGUCAUAAGACAUUGGUAUUUGGUUACAUUUCGGUUGCGACAUCGGGUGACCAAAAUACAAUGUAAAUUCAAAGUCCUAAUGCCAAUUUGAUGUCCAAUGCCGACGUCAGCUGACCUUGAUAUUUGUUGUUUUUAGGUUGUGUAACCAAAAGUCAAUGUCAAAUCGGCAUCAAAUACUGACGUCAACUCGAUUUUCAUUCUCAACCAAAAUGCAAUAUCUGUCCAACGUCAAUCUGACAUUAUAUUGAUGUCUUGUGCCUACUGGGUCCAGUUUUUCACUGUUCUGUAAUCACUGAAAUUAAUGUAAACAUAGACAAACAAAAUGAAGCAAGCUAAGUGAUAAUUGUUCAAUAUGGCUGGGUGGUAUGACAGGAUAAAGUGUCAUUUGAUUUUCAUUUAUAUCAGGCUAUGUAGCCUAUAUCUGCAGAGCUUUGCAGGCAUAAAUUUAGCAACUCGUUAGAGUUAUUAAGAAACAUGGAUGAAUGACAAAAAAGUAUGAAAUGCUUGAUAGAGCAGUAUAUUGUGAAACAGAGCUUGUGACUGACAUCAUACUGACAGACAUAAGACUGACAUUCAGUUUUUUAGGUUUAUUAUACUUGAAAGGUUAAAUACACACAGUCAUGCCAAAAUGUGAGCAUGUGUGAGUAUUCAUGUAAACACAAUCGAUUAUGUUUUAAAUGAACAAAAGUUUAGGGAAAAACCGUUUGAGAAGUGUGCCAAUAUUGUAUCCACACAUUAUUGCUGUAGGUCUUAAAGUGUCUAUUAUUUACACACUGCUGCCGUUGAUGCCAAAAUAAAACCCAAAUUUUAUGCUUUUUGUUUGCUUUUACUUUGUGUCAUGCGUGACUAUUGAUCUUUUAACAUAAAA
Cyprinus carpio carpio is the source of this 2481-nucleotide long non-coding RNA. The record is from Ensembl. Lineage: Eukaryota; Metazoa; Chordata; Actinopteri; Cypriniformes; Cyprinidae.